GGUCGUUACUGUUUACUACCAUUACUAGCACUUUAUCGAUUGCUUAGUAGAACCAAAAUCCAUGCUCUUUAUUUACUUUCUUUCCAUAGAUUUCUCCAUACACACUCAAGCAACCUGAUCCUUUCCACUCUACACGCAAAACCCAUAAAAUUAAAGAACGACCACAGCAGAAAUGAAGGCUGUCAUGUCACGCUUGCAGCUGCAUUCAAAGGCCUCAUUUCCCAGGCUCUGUUGGCUGGUUGUGUUGAAAAAUGGGAGAUCAUUGUCUAUAAGAUCUGAUCAAGUUGAUGGUGCAUCAAAAGUUGAGGAAGCAGAGACAGUAGAAUUGAAAACUCCUCCAACAGAGAAGCUACUUGUUUUGGGAGGAAAUGGUUUUGUUGGUUCACAUAUAUGCAGAGAAGCUUUAGGCCAUGGUUUGAUCGUAUCCAGUCUUAGUAGGUCUGGUAGAUCAUCUCUACAUGAUUCUUGGGCUGACAGCAUAGUCUGGCAUCAAGGAGAUUUGCUUUCACCUGAUUCCUUAAAGCAUGCACUAAAUGGAGUAACCUCCGUGGUAAACUUUGUAGAUCUCAUGUGUUGGAGGUUUUGGCUCAAAUUCUUAUAUGUACAAAAUCAAUGGAUCUGCAAAUAUAAAUGCUAUAAAAGCUGCCUCAGAGCAAGGUAUGUUACUAUUCUCUCACCAAUAUGCCUUUUUGUCUUUCUUUAGUCAUGCCCCAAUUAUUCAAGAUCAAAACAAUAGUUAGGCAUUAUCACAGAAUUAUCUUGUAACAUAUUUGGCAAUUUCUUGCUUGCAGUCUCAUACAGUGAUUAUAUUCUUAUUAUUUCUUCCUUUUAUGAUCAACAUUUUGGCAAUUUCUUUUCAAAAUUUACUGUAUUCUGAGUUAAUUUAGCAUGGAAUUCUCUUUCUUCCUAAACUGUUUGAUUGAAAUGAUUAAGCACCAGGUCGGAUGGCUUCCACACUUCCUGAAAACUGUUUCCAUUUUACUAUCUAAAGAGGAAUCAUGUUUGCUUGAAAACUGAGUUUUGGCAUUAUUUGAUGGAAGUCAAAUGUGUUAUGCGCAUUUUUCUUGUGUUUCCAGUUUUACACAUCUAUGGUUGUUAUUAUUUCUUUAUUUCCUUACUUGCCUCUCUGCAUGCUUGUCUUCAGGUGUAAAAAGAUUUGUCUAUAUAUCUGCUGCUGAUUUCGGUUUGAUAAAUUAUAUACUACGGGGAUAUUAUGAAGGAAAGGUAUAUUCUUGCUCACUAUGUAUUCAUUUACCCUUGCUCAAUUCCUGAUGGGAACAAUCAGCUUGGAGAUUUUCUGUUUUAAACUAAUGGUUCCAUUGUUAAUGUUGUAGCUACUGACGUCAUAUGUUAUUUGUUUAUAAUGCUCAGCUAUAUGACUCUUUUUGCUACCUUUAUUUAUUAGAAUUUCUCCUUGUCUACUUUGAUGCAGAGGUCAACUGAAACUGAACUAAUCAAUAACUUUCCAAAUGGAGGUGUUAUUCUUAGGCCUGGUUUCAUACAUGGGAACCGCCGUGUUGGAAAUAUGAAGUUACCUUUAAGUAUAAUUGGGGCUCCACUUGAGAUGGUACUCCAACAUGCCAAGCUACUGACCCGAAUCCCACUCAUCGGUCCUCUUUUUAUACCUCCAGUUCAUGUUAGUUCAGUGGCAAAGGUUGCUGUCAGAGCUGCAACAGAUCCAGCUUUCCCUCCAGGCAUUGUUGAUGUGUACAGUAUACUAAAGCAUAGCCGAUAAGCUCCAGUUUAAGCCUUAAUUAUUUAGUCUUUGUUUGAAAAUUUUGUUUUUGUUGCUUUUUGAUUUAUCAAAAGAAGCCUUAGAUAUCUCUGUCUAAUUAUGGAAAUAUCACUAUAUAUGUUGAUUGUGUUGAAAUGCAAGUAUGCAGCUCUAUGCUUGAAAGUUAUAGAAUUUCAUCCCAUUCCAAAAUAAGAUUGAUUUUAUUCUCUUCCUCUAUUUCCCUAAUUUUAUAUCUUAGGUGUAUAUACCCACCUAAAUAAUAAUUGACACGAAGCCAAUUAAAAAUUUGAAGACAU
This 2031-nucleotide unclassified non-coding RNA is filed under the name Hevea brasiliensis (rubber tree). The record is from RNAcentral. Lineage: Eukaryota; Viridiplantae; Streptophyta; Magnoliopsida; Malpighiales; Euphorbiaceae.